This 253-nucleotide ribosomal RNA is filed under the name uncultured bacterium. RNAcentral describes it as "partial 16S ribosomal RNA". It matches the Rfam family "Bacterial small subunit ribosomal RNA", at positions 524 to 776 of the family's 1533-position model. The record is from RNAcentral.
UACGGAGGGUGCAAACGUUGCUCGGAAUUACUGGGCGUAAAGCGCACGUAGGCGGCUUCUUAAGUCGGUGGUGAAAUCCUGGAGCUCAACUCCAGAACUGCCUUCGAUACUGGGAAGCUCGAGUCCGGGAGAGGUGAGUGGAACUGCGAGUGUAGAGGUGAAAUUCGUAGAUAUUCGCAAGAACACCAGUGGCGAAGGCGGCUCACUGGCCCGGUACUGGCGCUGAGGUGCGAAAGCGUGGGGAGCAAACAGG